This 1318-nucleotide ribosomal RNA is filed under the name Vibrio parahaemolyticus. Its description in RNAcentral is "partial 23S ribosomal RNA". It matches the Rfam family "Bacterial large subunit ribosomal RNA", at positions 197 to 1568 of the family's 2925-position model. Lineage: Bacteria; Pseudomonadati; Pseudomonadota; Gammaproteobacteria; Vibrionales; Vibrionaceae. The record is from RNAcentral.
AACAUCUAAGUACCCCGAGGAAAAGAAAUCAACCGAGAUUCCGAAAGUAGCGGCGAGCGAAAUUGGACUAGCCCUUAAGCUUUACACGCGUUAGACGAACGGUCUGGAAAGUCCGACGAUACAGGGUGAUAGUCCCGUAGUUGACGACGUGUGUUCAGUGAAAUCGAGUAGGGCGGGACACGUGAUAUCCUGUCUGAAUAUGGGGGGACCAUCCUCCAAGGCUAAAUACUACUGACUGACCGAUAGUGAACCAGUACCGUGAGGGAAAGGCGAAAAGAACCCCUGUGAGGGGAGUGAAAUAGAACCUGAAACCGUGUACGUACAAGCAGUAGGAGCAGGCUUUGUCCUGUGACUGCGUACCUUUUGUAUAAUGGGUCAGCGACUUAUAUUCAGUGGCAAGGUUAACCAUCUAGGGGAGCCGUAGGGAAACCGAGUCUUAACUGGGCGUUCAGUCUCUGGAUAUAGACCCGAAACCAGGUGAUCUAGCCAUGGGCAGGUUGAAGGUUGAGUAACAUCAACUGGAGGACCGAACCGACUAAUGUUGAAAAAUUAGCGGAUGACUUGUGGCUAGGGGUGAAAGGCCAAUCAAACCUGGAGAUAGCUGGUUCUCCCCGAAAGCUAUUUAGGUAGCGCCUCGGACGAAUACUACUGGGGGUAGAGCACUGUUAAGGCUAGGGGGUCAUCCCGACUUACCAACCCUUUGCAAACUCCGAAUACCAGUAAGUACUAUCCGGGAGACACACGGCGGGUGCUAACGUCCGUCGUGGAGAGGGAAACAACCCAGACCGCCAGCUAAGGUCCCAAAUUACUACUAAGUGGGAAACGAUGUGGGAAGGCUCAGACAGCCAGGAUGUUGGCUUAGAAGCAGCCAUCAUUUAAAGAAAGCGUAAUAGCUCACUGGUCGAGUCGGCCUGCGCGGAAGAUGUAACGGGGCUAAGUAGUAAACCGAAGCUGCGGCAAUGUGCUUUUGCACAUUGGGUAGGGGAGCGUUCUGUAAGCGGUUGAAGGUGUGUGGUAACGCAUGCUGGACGUAUCAGAAGUGCGAAUGCUGACAUGAGUAACGAUAAAGGGGGUGAAAAACCUCCUCGCCGGAAGACCAAGGGUUCCUGUCCAACGUUAAUCGGGGCAGGGUAAGUCGACCCCUAAGGCGAGGCCGAAAGGCGUAGUCGAUGGGAAACGGGUUAAUAUUCCCGUACUUCUUACAAUUGCGAUGGGGGGACGGAGAAGGCUAGGUGGGCCUGGCGACGGUUGUCCAGGUUCAAGUGCGUAGGCUUGAGAGUUAGGUAAAUCCGGCUCUCUUUAAGGCUGAGACACGACG